GUUUGAACAGUAUUCAGAAGUGGAUGCAGCAUUUUUGUAUUUUUACAAAAUCCAAGGACAAACCCACUGCAUUGACGGCAGUAAAGAUACAGCAAGACUUGGAAGAUUCAUGAAUGAUGACCAUGUCAAACCAAACAGCAAAAUUAAAAUUGUGUUGGAUGAGCAAAAAAAAAAAAGCAUCUCUGUCCAUUUGCUAUCACAAAAAUACAUGCAGGGGAAGAAAUGGUCUUUGAUUAUGGUGAUCCUAACUGUGAAUGGCGACAGAAGCCCGCUUCAUCAUCUGGGAAAGAGCAGAUGGAAAAGAAGGAAUCCCGGUGGAAGAGCUCUCUGGAAAAUCUGCAGACUGAGCCUGACGUGAAAAAAAUUGAUGACCUUGUCUACAAUCUGAA
This is a long non-coding RNA of Poeciliopsis prolifica (blackstripe livebearer), 389 nucleotides long. RefSeq lists it as uncharacterized. The transcript is spliced from 5 exons. The record is from RefSeq and is a predicted model, not a curated record. Lineage: Eukaryota; Metazoa; Chordata; Actinopteri; Cyprinodontiformes; Poeciliidae.